CCCGCAACCAUUUAACAAAGGGUCCAGUGUUUGAAAAGCCCCGCAGCAGUUCGGGGCUUUUUACUAUGUGACCUCGACUGCUCAAAGCAGUCUAACACUGGGCGUUUACGCCCUUUUUUU
Idiomarina sp. is the source of this 120-nucleotide non-coding RNA. The record is from Rfam. Lineage: Bacteria; Pseudomonadati; Pseudomonadota; Gammaproteobacteria; Alteromonadales; Idiomarinaceae.